AGCUUUGCGCAGUGCCAGUAUCGUAGCCAAUGAGGUUUAUCCAAGACGCAAUUAUUGCUAAUUGAAAAAUAGUUGCAGAAUAAUGGAAAACUGGCAGUAUACUCAUGUAUAUAUUAUUUUGCAAUUAUUUAUGAGAUUUAUGAUUU
Small nuclear RNA from Lontra canadensis (Northern American river otter), 146 nucleotides. RefSeq annotates it as U4 spliceosomal RNA. The transcript has a single exon. The record is from RefSeq and is a predicted model, not a curated record. Lineage: Eukaryota; Metazoa; Chordata; Mammalia; Carnivora; Mustelidae.